AUUGAACGCUGGCGGCAGGCUUAACACAUGCAAGUCGAGCGGGGUGAUGGUGCUUGCACUAUCACUUAGCGGCGGACGGGUGAGUAAUGCUUAGGAAUCUGCCUAUUAGUGGGGGACAACAUCUCGAAAGGGAUGCUAAUACCGCAUACGUCCUACGGGAGAAAGCAGGGGAUCACUUGUGACCUUGCGCUAAUAGAUGAGCCUAAGUCGGAUUAGCUAGUUGGUGGGGUAAAGGCCUACCAAGGCGACGACCUGUAGCGGGUCUGAGAGGAUUGUCGGCAACACUGGGACUUGGACACGGCCCAGACUCCUACGGGAGGCAGCAGUGGGGAAUAUUGGACAAUGGGGGGAACCCUGAUCCAGCCAUGCCGCGUGUGUGAAGAAGGCCUUAUGGUUGUAAAGCACUUUAAGCGAGGAGGAGGCUCUUUUGGUUAAUACCCAAGAUGAGUGGACGUUACUCGCAGAAUAAGCACCGGCUAACUCUGUGCCAGCCGCCGCCGUAA
RNAcentral lists this ribosomal RNA (503 nucleotides) under uncultured bacterium. RNAcentral describes it as "partial 16S ribosomal RNA". It matches the Rfam family "Bacterial small subunit ribosomal RNA", at positions 30 to 523 of the family's 1533-position model. The record is from RNAcentral.